CAGAGAGUAGAGCAAAACGGAUCGUAGCAGGAAGAGAGUGUAGUCCUUUGUCCUUGGCUCUAUAUAGCCCAAAUUACAUCAUAACGUUUAGUUUAGACUCUGCCAUAUAAGGAAGUUCCCUAUAUAAAGACCACCUCAAAUCUCUUAUACAGCAAAUUCCAGAGACCCCAUGGUACAGAAUAGCAAACGCCAUCUGUUCUGUUUAACCCAUUAGACAACCACACCUUAAUAUGUAUUUG
Molecule: non-coding RNA, 239 nt
Organism: Pelobates cultripes (western spadefoot toad)
Lineage: Eukaryota; Metazoa; Chordata; Amphibia; Anura; Pelobatidae
Source: the annotation of a GenBank genome assembly